RNAcentral lists this ribosomal RNA (468 nucleotides) under uncultured bacterium. Its description in RNAcentral is "partial 16S ribosomal RNA". It matches the Rfam family "Bacterial small subunit ribosomal RNA", at positions 28 to 507 of the family's 1533-position model. The record is from RNAcentral.
GACGAACGCUGGCGGCGUGCUUAACACAUGCAAGUCGCACGGCAAGGCCCUGCUUUUGUGGGGUGCUCGAGUGGCGAACGGGUGAGUAACACGUAAGUAACCUGACCUUGCCUUUGAGCUCACUUCAGGACACUGGGGCUCAUACCGGAUAGGUGCUUCUGCUGCAUGGUGGGGGUUGGAAAGUUUCGGCGGUUGGCGAUGGACUCGCGGCUUAUCAGCUUGUUGGUGGGGUAGUGGCUUACCAAGGCUUUGACGGGUCGCCGGCCUGAGAGGGUGACAGGCCACAUUGGGACUGAGAUACGGCCGAGACUCCUACGGGAGGCAGCAGAAGGGAAUAUUGCACAAUGGGCGGAAGCCGGAUGCAGCAACGCCGCGUGCGGGAUUGUGGCCUUCGUGUUGGAAACCGCAUUCUCGUGUGACGAAGCGUGAGUGAAGGUAAUGGGUAAAUAAGCACCGGCUAACUACGUG